UACGUAUGGUGCAAGCGUUAUCCGGAUUUACUGGGUGUAAAGGGAGCGCAGGCGGCGCGGCAAGUCCGAUGUGAAAACCCCCGGCUCAACCGGGGGACUGCAUUGGAAACUACCGGGCUGGAGUGCCGGAGAGGUAGGCGGAAUUCCUGGUGUAGCGGUGAAAUGCGUAGAUAUCAGGAGGAACACCAGUGGCGAAGGCGGCCUACUGGACGGUGACUGACGCUGAGGCUCGAAAGCAUGGGGAGCAAACAGG
RNAcentral lists this ribosomal RNA (253 nucleotides) under uncultured bacterium. RNAcentral describes it as "partial 16S ribosomal RNA". It matches the Rfam family "Bacterial small subunit ribosomal RNA", at positions 524 to 776 of the family's 1533-position model. The record is from RNAcentral.